Molecule: unclassified non-coding RNA, 4486 nt
Filed under: Amphibalanus amphitrite
Lineage: Eukaryota; Metazoa; Arthropoda; Thecostraca; Balanomorpha; Balanidae
Description: sister chromatid cohesion protein PDS5 homolog B- like, transcript variant X2
Source: RNAcentral
UCGGCCAAUCGCGUCGCGAGGUUGCCGGUGGAGUCGCGCCAUUUCCUGUUGUGUCGGUGAGGAGGGUUGGUUUUGUGGAUUAAAAUUACGUUUUUAUCAUUUUUAGAAGUACUACCAUCUUCAUUUCAUUGCAAGCUCAACUUUGAAGGGUUGACCUUCACGUCCAGUCACUGGAGGUUCCAUCACCGGCUGAGCGGGAGUGGUGGACGCGGCCAUGUCUCGUGCGGGGCCGUCGAGCGAGUCGGCGGCCAUCGUGUACCCGCCCGGGUGCCGCGAGAUCACCGAGGACCUCGGCCCAGAUGAGCUCAUCAGGCGCCUCAAGACGCUGGCGCACACGUACCAGUCGAUGGUGCAGGAUGACGGCGCCUACCAGGAGUACCUGCCGCUGGCCAAACACAUCGCCGACGACUACUUCCGCGAGUACCCCAGCAAGGACGUGCAGCUGCUGGUGGCCUGCUGCAUCGCCGACGUGCUCCGCGUAUACGCGCCCGAGGCGCCCUACAAGGACCCCGCUCAGGUCAAGAUGAUCUUCAUGUUCCUGAUAAAGCAGCUGGCCGGUCUGAAGGACCCCAAGGACCCGGCGUUCAAGCGCUACUUCUACCUUCUGGAGAACCUGGCCUACGUCAAGUCGUUCAACAUGUGCCUCGAGCUGGAGGAUAGCAACGAGAUCAUCUGUAGCCUCUUCUCGCUUACAUUCAAAAUUGUCAAUGACGAGCACUCGGGCAAGGUGAAGAGCUUCAUGCUGGACGUGCUCUGUCCUCUGAUCUACGAGUCAGACGUCGUCUCCAACGAGCUGAUGGACAUCAUCCUGAUGAACAUCGUGGAGCCGGCCAAGUCGUCACGGCGCAACGCCUAUCACCUGGCCAAGGAGCUCAUCAUGAAGUGCAGCGACACACUGGAGCCCUACAUCCAGGCGUUUUUCAACCACGUGCUGAUUCUGGGCAAGGAGGAGAAGAAGCUGGGCAUCUCGAGGAAGGUGUACGACCUGAUCUACGAGCUGAACCACAUCUGUCCCACCGUGCUGCUGGCAGUGGUGCCCCAGCUCGAGUUCAAGCUGAAGUCGACGGAGGAGGACGAACGAUUCCACGCCGUCAGUCUGCUGGCGCGCAUGUUCUCCGAGCAGGAGUCCAACCUGGCCAUGCACCACCGGCAGCUGUGGCUCGCCUUCCUCGGCAGGUUUAACGACAUCUCUGUGAAGAUCCGCACCAAGUGUGUGCAGUACUCGAUGCACUUUCUGCUGAACCACCCGGAGCUGCGCUCGGACAUCACGGAGACGCUGAAAUUCCGGCAGCACGACUCGGACGAGGCCGUCAGGUACGAGGUGGUGAUGGCCAUCGUCUCCACGGCCAAACGAGACUUCAGCAUCGUCUCGGAGAGCGAGGCGCUGCUCAACUUCGUCAAGGAGCGCACCUUAGACAAAAAGUUCAAGAUCCGCAAGGAGGCCAUGUGCGGUCUGGCCAUGAUCUACCGGAAGUACCUGAGUAACCCGGACGUACCGGAGGCCACGCGCACGGCCGUCACAUGGAUCAAGGACAAGAUCCUGCACGGCUACUACAUGACGAGCCUGGACGACCGACUUCUGGUGGAGCGCAUCGUCAACACGUGCCUGGUGCCGUUCACCCUGCCGCCCGGCGAGCGCAUGAAGAAACUCUACUACCUGUUUGCCACGCUCGACGAGAACGCCACCAAGGCCUUCAUCGAGAUGCAGAAACAGCAGCUGGCCGUCCGUAAGACGGUGCAGGAGCUGCUGGAGCUGCACCGCACGCCCGUCUCGGAGGAGCGCGAGCGGGAGAAGGUGCUGCGCAUCAACCACCUGUCCAAGUUCCUGCCGGACCCGGUCAAGGCGCAGGAGUUUAUCCGCAAGUUCUCCCAGCACCUGGCGCAGGAGGAGUCGCUGCUGCAGCUCAUGGAGACAGUCAUCAACCCGACCGUCUCCUGCCGGGAGAGCGUCGACAGCGUCAACAUGGUGCUGAAGCGGCUGGGCCAGCCGGUGAUGACCAACCUCUACUACAACACCAUCAAGCAGCUGCUGGAGCGCGUCUCGUCGGUGAUGAUCGACCACGACGCGCUGCUGGCGCUGGUCUCAAUGGUGGAGGAGGCGGUGCGCGACCCGGCCUCGGCGCAGGAGCUCAACAUCGAGCCGGGCGCGGCGGUGGGCCGCGGCCUGCGGCUGCUGUUCGUGCUGUCGUACGUGCAGGCGGCGCAGUUUCUGCACGCUGACAUUUUGGCCGUGCUGCUCGGCAUGCUCCAGACGGACGACGACACGGUGACGCCCAAGGUGCUGGGCGUGCUGCACUUUGUGGGCAAGUACCGGCCGCUGGCGUCCGAGUUCCCCGACCUGAUGGACAGCCUGGUGCCCGUCUGCCAGCAGCUGGCCACGGCCGGCUCGCCCAAGCAGGCCAAGCACGCCAUCCGCUGUCUGUUCGUCAACGUCACCGACAACCAGGAGGGCGUCUUCACCGAGAUACUCGAGCGUCUGAAGUCUGAGCUGGAGCUGGGCCACGAGCACUACCGCACGUCCAUCGUGUCACUGGGCCACAUCGCGCUCCACCUCUCCAACAAGUUCCCCAUCCAGAUCAAAAAUAUCGUCUCCAGGAAAAUCGUCAAGGACCUGCUGAUGCGGGACCUGACGGACAGCGGGGAGAGCGAGGAGGAGUGGUGUGAUGAGGACGCUCUGCCCGAGGGCAUCCGCUGCAAGAUCGAGGGCAUGAAGCUGAUGGCGCGCUGGCUGAUCGGCCUCAAGGACGACGUCAUCUCGGCGCAGAAGACGUUCCGCAUGCUGAUCGCCUUCAUCAUCCACCGCGGCGACCUUCUCGAGGAGGGCAAGGUCAAUAAGCCGGAGGCGGCCUGGCUGCGCUACGCGGCCGGCGCCGCCAUGCUGAAGAUCUGCGAGCAGAAGGGCGUCGGUGACCAGUUCACUGCCGACCAGUUCUACAGUCUCUCCCUGCUGAUGGCCGACGAGUGUCUCCAGGUGCGGGAGCGGUUUGCCGCCAAGCUGCACAAGGGCCUGAGCCGUGGCAUCCCGCACAAGUGUCUGCCGCUCGACUUUAUGGGCAUGUACGCGCUGGCCGGCCAGGAGCCCGACAAGCGGCUCAAGGCCACCGUGCGUGGGUACAUGGCCGCAGACAUCCUGAAGCGCCGCGACGUCAUCAAGAGCCUGCUGCUCAACGGAGGGUCGGAGCGGGCGGCCGACCAGCUGCCGCACAUCAUGCCCGACUACAUGCUGGUGUUCGCCGUGCCCAUCCUGGCGCACGACCCCGACUUUACCGAGUACGACGACGUCGAGUACCUGACCAAGAUCCGCGCCUGCCUCUGGUUCAUCCUUGAGCCGCUGAUCACCAAGAACGACAACUACUGUUUCGGCUUCUACAAGGCGCUGGUGGAGCGGAUGAAGAACCACCUGGACGCAGUGCGCAGUGAGGAGGAGGCCGCCAACCACAAACUGUGGGCCGUCUGUGACCUGGCCAUGGGCCUGCUGCUCACCAAGACAACCAACUUCGAGAUGCGCGAGUUCCCCUCGGAGCCGCGCAUCCCACCCAUGUACUUCCGCAAGCCGGCCGACCCCAACUUCGUCAACGGGAAGAUCUACCUGCCGCCCGAGCUGCAGCACCUGGGAAAGCGGAACAACAUGGUGUCGAUGGCGCACAGCCACAGCAUGAUCAACAAGCGCAUCCAGCUGGCGCAGCAGAUCCGCGCCUCCAAGGCCGGCGGCGGCGGCAGCGCGACUGAUUCGGGACCCUCCGGCCACCUACAGCCGGCGCGCCGCCCACGAGCGGGACAGAAACGACGACUCGGUGGAUAGCGCGGCCGGUGGUGACCUGUCGGAGCAGUCAUCGACCUUCUCAGACAGUCCUUCCAAGGACAAACAGGACAAAAUCACCAACUACUUCAAGAAGGCGCCGCGGACGGCGUCCCCGACCCCGAGCAGUCAGCGCUCGACACGCAGCGGCCGCAGCGGCGACUCGUCGGCUGCCGGCGAGGAGGCCGGUCAGCGCGCCGCGCCGCGCACCACCCGCACCAGGGCGGCGGCCACCGAGGAGGCCGCCGAGGCGUCUGGAUCUCGUUCUGUGAACGGUAAGCGGCAGGCGGCUGAGCCGGAGCCGGAGUCUGAGCCGGAGCCGGAGUCGGCCCGGCCGGCGGCCGCCGCCAAGAGGAAGCCGGCGCCGGCCGCCAAGCCGGAGCCGGAGGAACCGAGCCGCAAGUCGGCGCGACACGCCGCGCCAGCUCAGGAGGACGCGGCCGCCGGAAAGAACACACGACUGACGAGGUCGCGAAAAUGAGAGCGGCCGCCGUGAUGGGACCUGACCUGACGAGCGGCGCCCGCCGCGCUGCGCCGCGCCACUGUAUGCCGUGCUGCGCCACUGUAUGCCGCGCCGCGCCUGUUCCGUGCAACUGAGCGAGUUAUGUUAAAGCGUACAAACUUCAGAGUGUUUUUUAAUGCGCGCGCCGCCCCGCCCGUACCGAAUACACACUGUCUGGGGCCGCG